GAUUGAACGCUGGCGGCAGGCCUAACACAUGCAAGUCGAGCGGAUGAAGGGAGCUUGCUCCUGGAUUCAGCGGCGGACGGGUGAGUAAUGCCUAGGAAUCUGCCUGGUAGUGGGGGAUAACGUCCGGAAACGGGCGCUAAUACCGCAUACGUCCUGAGGGAGAAAGUGGGGGAUCUUCGGACCUCACGCUAUCAGAUGAGCCUAGGUCGGAUUAGCUAGUUGGUGGGGUAAAGGCCUACCAAGGCGACGAUCCGUAACUGGUCUGAGAGGAUGAUCAGUCACACUGGAACUGAGACACGGUCCAGACUCCUACGGGAGGCAGCAGUGGGGAAUAUUGGACAAUGGGCGAAAGCCUGAUCCAGCCAUGCCGCGUGUGUGAAGAAGGUCUUCGGAUUGUAAAGCACUUUAAGAUGGGAGGAAGGGCAGUAAGUUAAUACCUUGCUGUUUUGACGUUACCAACAGAAUAAGCACCGGCUAACUUCGUG
Molecule: ribosomal RNA, 485 nt
Filed under: uncultured bacterium
Lineage: Bacteria
Description: partial 16S ribosomal RNA
Rfam family: Bacterial small subunit ribosomal RNA
Source: RNAcentral